Non-coding RNA from Phrynosoma platyrhinos (Desert horned lizard), 73 nucleotides. The record is from the annotation of a GenBank genome assembly. NCBI's taxonomy places the organism in Eukaryota, Metazoa, Chordata, Lepidosauria, Squamata, Phrynosomatidae.
GCCAGAGUGGCGCAAUGGUUUGAGUGUUAAGACUAUGAUUCUGGAGACCAGGGUUCAAUUCCCCGCUUGGCCA